UACGGAGGAUGCGAGCGUUAUCCGGAUUUAUUGGGUUUAAAGGGUGCGUAGGCGGCCUUGUAAGUCAGCGGUGAAAUUUUGCAGCUUAACUGUAAAAGUGCCGUUGAUACUGUGAGGCUAGGAUUUGGUUGCUGUGGGUGGAAUGUGUGGUGUAGCGGUGAAAUGCUUAGAGAUCACACAGAAUAUCGAUUGCGAAGGCAGCUCACAAAGCCAAGAUUGACGCUGAGGCACGAAAGCGUGGGUAGCGAACAGGAUUA
Molecule: ribosomal RNA, 257 nt
Filed under: uncultured prokaryote
Description: partial 16S ribosomal RNA
Rfam family: Bacterial small subunit ribosomal RNA
Source: RNAcentral